Carassius auratus (goldfish) is the source of this 479-nucleotide long non-coding RNA. RefSeq lists it as uncharacterized. NCBI's taxonomy places the organism in Eukaryota, Metazoa, Chordata, Actinopteri, Cypriniformes, Cyprinidae. The transcript has 3 exons. The record is from RefSeq and is a predicted model, not a curated record.
CCUGAAGUCAGCAUUCCUGACAUCGCUGGACAAUCACACCCAGGGGUUGCUAAAGAUGUACAGAGCCAAAAGCAAGACUGGGAAGGUGGAACAACUUGGAUGAACUUCUGGAACAACUGGAUGCCCAGACCACAGAUCUAACUACUCAUUGAAGGUCUGCUGUUCUUAGUGGUCUUCCCCUGUACUUGAGAGAGCCAGCUUCAAUUUCAAAGACUAUUAAGGAUACUGAGGCAUUGGGGCCACACACAAAGGCCAUGAAAAUGAAGUGACUGACAGUUCUACCAACUCAGGACCUUAUCCCACAGUGGUCAACGUGGCUGUAGUAGUGGAGGAGGAAGUUGUCAUGGACAAUCUGGGAGACUUCACAAAUUCCCUCAUGAUGUUUGUUUCGGCACUGGUUGAAUACUUGUGUAAUAUUUUACUUGAGCCUAACAGGCAAAUUCAUAUGUAUUUAAAUAAAUAAAUAAAAUGUUUUUUUU